This is a small nucleolar RNA of Suncus etruscus (white-toothed pygmy shrew), 126 nucleotides long. RefSeq annotates it as small nucleolar RNA ACA64. The record is from RefSeq and is a predicted model, not a curated record. Lineage: Eukaryota; Metazoa; Chordata; Mammalia; Eulipotyphla; Soricidae. The transcript has a single exon.
GUUGGUUGAAAAUCACCCGAGGCUUUGUCCGUAGCCCCGGGUGAGAUUCGGUGCCCACAGCCACUGGGGUCUUAGCUCACCGCCCACUCGACAGUGUGGAGAGGUGAAACCCAGGCCCCGACAUGC